UACGGAGGGUGCGAGCGUUGUCCGGAAUCAUUGGGCGUAAAGGGCGCGUAGGUGGCGGGACAAGCGUGCGGUGAAAGCCUGGGGCUCAACCCCGGGUCGGCCGUGCGAACUGUUUUGCUUGAGCACUGUAGAGGCAGGCGGAAUUCCGGGUGUAGCGGUGGAAUGCAUAGAGAUCCGGAAGAACACCGGUGGCGAAGGCGGCCUGCUGGGCAGUAGCUGACACUGAGGCGCGACAGCGUGGGGAGCAAACAGG
This 253-nucleotide ribosomal RNA is filed under the name uncultured bacterium. Its description in RNAcentral is "partial 16S ribosomal RNA". It matches the Rfam family "Bacterial small subunit ribosomal RNA", at positions 524 to 776 of the family's 1533-position model. The record is from RNAcentral.